UACGGGGGGAGCAAGCGUUGUUCGGAUUUACUGGGCGUAAAGGGCGCGUAGGCGGCGUGACAAGUCACUUGUGAAAUCUCCGGGCUUAACUCGGAACGGUCAAGUGAUACUGUCGUGCUAGAGUACAGAAGGGGCAACUGGAAUUCUCGGUGUAGCGGUGAAAUGCGUAGAUAUCGAGAGGAACACCUGCGGCGAAGGCGGGUUGCUGGGCUGAUACUGACGCUGAGGCGCGAAAGCUAGGGGAGCAAACGGG
This 253-nucleotide ribosomal RNA is filed under the name uncultured bacterium. Its description in RNAcentral is "partial 16S ribosomal RNA". It matches the Rfam family "Bacterial small subunit ribosomal RNA", at positions 524 to 776 of the family's 1533-position model. The record is from RNAcentral.